This 424-nucleotide ribosomal RNA is filed under the name uncultured archaeon. RNAcentral's name for it is "partial 16S ribosomal RNA". It matches the Rfam family "Archaeal small subunit ribosomal RNA", at positions 323 to 746 of the family's 1478-position model. The record is from RNAcentral.
CUACGGGUCGCUCCAGUUAGGAAUAAUCUACAAUGCGCGCAAGCGUGAUAGUUUGAGUCAGAGUGCGUUUCAAUUUGGAAUGCUUUUGUGAAAUGCAAAAAGUUUCACGAAUAAGGACUGGGUAAGACGAGUGCCAGCCGCCGCGGUAAUACUCGCGGUCCAAGUCGCAGCCAUUUUUAUUGGGUCUAAAACAUCCGUAGCUUGCUAUUAUUAAGUUCCUUGUGAAAUCCUAUAUCUAAAAUAUAGGGCGGGCAGGGAAUACUGAUUGGCUAGAGACCGGAAGACGCAGCGAGUACGUUCAAAGUAGCGGUCAAAUGUGUUAAUCUUGGACGGACUCACAACAGCGAAGGCACGCUGCGAGGACGGUUCUGACAGUAAGGGAUGAAAGCUGGGGGCGCAAAACGGAUUAGAUACCCGCGUAGUC